AGUAAAAUGACCGAGAUUUAGGUGAUAAAUUGUAAAUUUAUUUACGGAGUAAUUCCUUUUACUA
This 64-nucleotide transfer RNA is filed under the name Pteroptyx asymmetria. RNAcentral describes it as "tRNA-Tyr". Lineage: Eukaryota; Metazoa; Arthropoda; Insecta; Coleoptera; Lampyridae. The record is from RNAcentral. RNAcentral also lists the same sequence under 2 other names.